Non-coding RNA from Onygenales sp. PD_40, 97 nucleotides. NCBI's taxonomy places the organism in Eukaryota, Fungi, Ascomycota, Eurotiomycetes, Onygenales. The record is from the annotation of a GenBank genome assembly.
GGGGUGAUAGCUCAGUUGGGAGAGCGUACGACUGAAGUUCCAACUUCAGUUCAACAGUUUAAUCGUAAGGUCGCUGGUUCGAUCCCGGCUCGCCCCA